Molecule: ribosomal RNA, 447 nt
Filed under: uncultured bacterium
Lineage: Bacteria
Description: partial 16S ribosomal RNA
Rfam family: Bacterial small subunit ribosomal RNA
Source: RNAcentral
AGCGAACGCUGGCGGCAGGCUUAACACAUGCAAGUCGAACGCCCCGCAAGGGGAGUGGCAGACGGGUGAGUAACACGUGGGAGCGUACCCUUUGGUUCGGAAUAACUUGGGGAAACUCAAGCUAAUACCGGAUAAGCCCUUAUGGGGAAAGGUUUACUGCCGAAGGAUCGGCCCGCGUCUGAUUAGCUAGUUGGUGAGGUAAUGGCUCACCAAGGCGACGAUCAGUAGCUGGUCUGAGAGGAUGAUCAGCCACACUGGGACUGAGACACGGCCCAGACUCCUACGGGAGGCAGCAGUGGGGAAUAUUGGACAAUGGGGGCAACCCUGAUCCAGCCAUGCCGCGUGAGUGAUGAAGGCCUUAGGGUUGUAAAGCUCUUUUACCCGGGACGACAAUGACUGUACCGGGAGAAUAAGCCCCGGCUAACUUCGUGCCAGCCGCCGCAGUAA